UGCUCCCCACCCCUAGGCCCUAGCCCGACCGGGAAGGUUGAGUUCCCUAUCAGUGAGUCCACAGAGGACCCCAGAAUGCCAGGAGCCCUUGCUGAGGGGCGUGCCCUAUGCUCAGGGGGACAGGGAUGGCAGAUAACCAAAAAGGCUGAGCCCCAGGCGUUCCCCCGGAGCUGAGCCUGUUUUCUCCCUGCGCCCCCCAUCUCCCCCCCCCCAAAAAAAAACAGAACCCGGAGUCCGCCUAGGACAUCCUCUUCCAAUCGUGGCGCUCGAAACUGCCUCCGCCCGGUGGAUUCCUCAUCCUUGAGCCCACAGCCAAGUAAAAGCAAUUACAGUUUGGAAUCCCAGGAGACAAGCAAAUGAUUUCGCUUAUGGAAAGAACUGCCUAAAGAAGAGUUCCCUAAAGGUUAGAGAACAAGGGGGCCGCCUUGGAGGCUGAGAGACGGGCGAGCGGGGACGGAGGGCAUGUGGCUAGAGAGUGGUCCACGGAAGCCGCCACGCAUUGUCAGAGAAGAGGGGAGGAGCGACAGCGAAGACAAGCGCAGAGGACUAGCAGGCGAUCGCGGAGGCUGCCAAGUGAUGGGAGUCAGAGGAGGGGAGAAGCGCGCACCCCACGGGCAGCUGGCCGGGCGGCAGGCUCCUCCUUUUGCAGCCUUUCACCCCUGGCUUCCCCCGGCGCUUGCAGACUGCACCAAGACACACACUGCGCUGGGGGCGCUCGCGGGCAUGGCAUGGGCGGGGUGCGGCAGGAACCAAAGAGCCCUGUGCCCCACACCGCGCAGGGCGUGCUGCACACCUGGCACCCGGGACUCACCAUCUGUUCAGAGCUGCCUCCUCGGCCCAGAGGUGUGGCCUGCGGACAGAUAAGAGUACCUCAUGGCAGCACGACUCCACAUCAACUGCCACUUCAACUGCCAAUCAGAGUUGUGAGUGCCCUACUGUAUGUCUCUGCUCAGUUUUAGAGCUUCCAGUUGAAGGUCUCAGUAACUGCAUCAUCUGUUCUACUCUGCAAGCUGCAAACGAAUACUGUGUAUGCUGUAAGAUAAAAUCAUACAUAAGGCAGAGGCAAAUUAGCCUUUGUAAAGAGGCAAAUUUGGGGACCAAGAGGAGGGUGGUGUCUGUUCAAGUAACUAGAAGUUCAUGAUUUUUUUUUUUCUUACUAGUCCCCGAAGCAUCAAACUCCUCAGGCUGUUUGUCCCAUACUCACAGCAUACAGAUAAAACGAAAAAUAAUUUCAAGUCGGGCGCGGUGUAUCACACCCCUAAUCUCAGCACUUUGGUUGAGGCAAGAGGAUUGCCACAAGUUGAAGGCCAGCCUGGGCUUACAGAGCCAGACUUCGUCAAAUGAAUUACAUAUGUCUGUAAACGCUGUUCCAAAUAAUAGCAGCAGUUAAGGUGGACUGGAAGACUGACAUCUGGGUGCUGAGAUCUCAGACACAUGAAGAGAGGUGGCAGCUGUUGACAGCAACAAGAAGGGGAAAGUGUGACCCAGCCGGGUGGCCUGAGUUCCAACGGAAAGGGAAUUUUCACCAGAGGAAAGAGACUUCACAUCUGGAAGUACCAAAAUGGAGUGGGUGGUGAGUGUAGAGUUUGAGCUGAGAGCUGACUGGAAAGGGAUUUCUGGCAGAGGACUUAGACAACCACGGAACGACUUUUGGAAGAAGAAGGUGCUCAUGUUGCCUAACACUGCCGUCUGAAAGGUUUUUGUUUUUUAAACAAUAAAUAACUUUGGGGGAAGGUAUUUUUAUUGUAAAGAUAUCUUCUCAUUUUAAAUUUGUUAACAAAUUCCCGCACUUGGGAUAUAGUGUCUCUCUCUGAGUUUGAGGCCACUCUGGUCUACAGAGUUAGUUCUAGGCCAGUCAGGACUAUAUAGUGAGCCCCCCUCCCUCUCUAUCUCUCUCUUUCUCUCUUUCUGUCUUCCUCCCUCCCUCUCCCUCUCUCUCUCUCUCUCUUACUCCUCCCCACAAAACACACACACAAAAUUGAUAAUGAAAAUACACUAUAAUUUAAUAAACUUGGUUUUCAUUUGGCAUGAUGAAAAGAUUCUGGUAUCUGAUGUAUGGCAAUUGCACAACAUUGUGAGUGUUAUAAAGGACAUCAAAUUGCAGUCUGAAAAGUGGUCAAAGUGAGGCUUCCUCUGCUCGGCUUGCUGUGAUAAAUGCAUAACUGAGUGGUUUAGAAAUGAUGGAAAUGUGGGGCUGGGACGAUGGCCGAGUUGGUAAAGCGCUUGCCACACAAGCAUUCCCAGAACACACGGGGAAAAAGCCUUGGCAAAGCCAGGCAUGCUUGUUAUCUCAGUGCCAGUGAGUUGGAGACAGGCAGAUCACAGAGCAUAGUGACUAGGCUACCUAGCCUACUUGCUGAGUUUCAGGCCAGUUAGAGACCCUGUCUGUAAACAAAAAAAGAAAACCAAACAACAACAACCACAACAAAAAAAGGAGGAUAGUGGCCAAAGUUGAUCCUUGGCUUCAGCAUACACAAAUACGUGUUCAUGUUCACCCAAAUACAAAACACGUAUGCACACACAAACACAAUCACCCCAA
Cricetulus griseus (Chinese hamster) is the source of this 2539-nucleotide non-coding RNA. The record is from RefSeq and is a predicted model, not a curated record. NCBI's taxonomy places the organism in Eukaryota, Metazoa, Chordata, Mammalia, Rodentia, Cricetidae.